ACAUCUACGCAUGAACCUAGAUCAUGAUGCCACUAUUGGGGAACGUUGCAUGGGAAACAAAAAAAUUCCUACGCACACGAAGACCUAUCAUGGUGAUGUCCAUCUACAAGAGGAGAUUUGGAUCUACGUACCCUUGUAGAUCGCACAACCAGAAGCGUGAAGAAAUACAGUUUAUGUAGUAGAACGUCCUCACGUCCCUCGAUCCGCCCCGUGAACCGUCCCACUAACCGUCCCGCGAUCCGUCCCACGAUCCGUUCCAAUCUAGUGCCGAACGGACGACACCUCUGCGUUCAGCACACGUACAACUCGACGAUGAUUUCGGCCUUCUUGAUCGAGCAAGCAAGAUAGAGAAGUAGAUGAGUUCUCCGGCAGCGUGACGGCGCUCCGGUGGUGGUGAGGAUCUAUUCCUGCAGGGCUCCGCCCGAGCUCUGCAGAAAUACGAUCUAGAGGUAAAACUAUGGUGUCUAGAUCUGAGUUGCAC
Molecule: long non-coding RNA, 481 nt
Filed under: Hordeum vulgare
Lineage: Eukaryota; Viridiplantae; Streptophyta; Magnoliopsida; Poales; Poaceae
Description: long non-coding RNA (HVUL_LNC004990)
Source: RNAcentral